GGAGAAACCUGCCGCCGCUCGCCGCCUCUUUGUCUGCUCCCGGACUUGGAACAAAAGGGGGAACUCUGAUGAACUCUCUUUCCUCCCCUCUCCCCGGACGCCGGGGUAUCUCCCUCUCGCAACUUUGCCGCCGCGACUUUCUCUGCUGUCAGGCCAGGAAAAAGUGUCCGAACGCCUCGCGGACUGCAGCGGGGGAAAUGUCCCUUAAAAGUGCGACGAAGUGGGGAAGAAGGUGUCAUUACUAUUAUCAGCAUCUAUAAAGCAUCAUGCACUUGCUGGAGUACUUCCUAGCACUGACCUCCUUCCUUCGGCGUUGUUCUUACUGGAUCUUUCUAUCAGCCAACAAUAUGGAGGUACCAAUACAAGGUCAAGGCAUUCCUGGAUUCAUCUGGAGUAACUGAACAGUUAAAUCAUUCGAAGUUUUGGUGAUACCUUUUCUAUAUGGAUUACAAUUUGAUCUCUGGGAAUUCUCCACUGUAAAAAAGUACCCUCAGGUGACUGCAGAUGUGUUAACCAGCAUGUUCGGGUAGGAGACUUUCUGGACGGGGAAGAUUUCCAGGAAUCUGCAACAAUCUCAUUUUACUGGUGGGUUUGCUGAAGCUUUAUCACAAGACAGUCAGAAUGAUUGAUGAGUGUUCUUCAGGUGUGAAUCAUGGCAAUACAGUGAAAGAUGGUGAUUUAUUGCUUUUGAGGGCAUGCAUGUAUAUGAUUAACGGAUGGAAGUGCAGGGCUCCAAGAUUUACUUCUUUCCCUUUCCAGUAGAGUUACCUGAGAGGAGUAAAAUCUGCUGGUGGAGUCACUCCAUUAUUCUUAUCUGUGGAGAUCUGGAUCUUGAUUUGAAAGUUUCUGAGAAAAUCUUCAGCUCAGACUUGAGGUCAACUUUACCACCUGAAGGAUCUGCAUUUGCUGCUCAACCACAUCUAAUUUGAUGCCCUCUGCAGAUUUAAAAUGUAUGCCUUCUUUUCCAUCACCAAGUCAUCUCUGGGUUACUACUGAACAUCUUUCUCACCUCCCUGCGACCCAUGGAUGGCUGUUCUCCAUUGUCUGUUUCACCAGAUGUCCUCAAAACAAACAGACAGAAGAAGGAAGUGGCUAAUGGAGCCGUGGAGUCCAAGUGUGACUGCCAAGAGGAAUCCUGCAAAGCCAAAGAGCUCGAGCAUGUAGCCCUGCCCGAAGCCUGCCACACGCAUGGAAAACCCAGAGGAAAUGAGUGAGGAUCAAUGGGAAGAAGGGAGCCAGCCAGG
This is a long non-coding RNA of Piliocolobus tephrosceles (Ugandan red Colobus), 1244 nucleotides long. RefSeq lists it as uncharacterized. Lineage: Eukaryota; Metazoa; Chordata; Mammalia; Primates; Cercopithecidae. The transcript is spliced from 8 exons. The record is from RefSeq and is a predicted model, not a curated record.